Molecule: ribosomal RNA, 492 nt
Filed under: uncultured bacterium
Lineage: Bacteria
Description: partial 16S ribosomal RNA
Rfam family: Bacterial small subunit ribosomal RNA
Source: RNAcentral
AGUGAACGCUGGCGGUAGGCCUAACACAUGCAAGUCGAACGGCAGCACAGUAAGAGCUUGCUCUUACGGGUGGCGAGUGGCGGACGGGUGAGGAAUACAUCGGAAUCUACUUUUUCGUGGGGGAUAACGUAGGGAAACUUACGCUAAUACCGCAUACGACCUACGGGUGAAAGCAGGGGAUCUUCGGACCUUGCGCGAUUGAAUGAGCCGAUGUCGGAUUAGCUAGUUGGCGGGGUAAAGGCCCACCAAGGCGACGAUCCGUAGCUGGUCUGAGAGGAUGAUCAGCUACUCUGGGUCUGGACCGCGUUCCAGUCCCCUAGGGAGGACAGCAGUGAGCACUAUUGGUCGUUAGCCGCCAGCCUGGUCCAGCCAUAGCGCGGGGAUUACAGGCACGUUCGAGUUGGAAUGCCUUGCUGUUGGGACAGAAAAACUGCAGGUUAAUGCUGGGCUGUUCUGACGGUACCGAAAAGAUCAGCGCCGGCUAACUUCGUG